This 299-nucleotide ribosomal RNA is filed under the name Dictyna foliicola. RNAcentral's name for it is "partial 12S ribosomal RNA". Lineage: Eukaryota; Metazoa; Arthropoda; Arachnida; Araneae; Dictynidae. The record is from RNAcentral.
GGUGGCAUUUUAUUUUAUUAGAGGAACUUGUUAUUUAAUCGAUAACCCCCGUUAAUAUUUACUUUAUUUCAAAAUUUAUAUACCUCCAUCAAAAGAAUUUUUUAUCAAAUUUAUUCUCAAUAUUUAAAAAAAUGUUAGGUCAAGGUGUAGUCAACAAUAAAGAAUUAAUGAGUUACUUUAAAUAAAAUUUAAGGAUUUUUCCUUUCAAUAAUAAAAUGAAAAAGGAUUUAUUAGUAAUUAAUAAAUAAUAAUUAUUAAUGAAAAAGAUAAUAAAUGUGCACACAUCGCCCGUCGCUCUU